CCUACGGGGGGCAGCAGUGGGGAAUUUUCCGCAAUGGGCGAAAGCCUGACGGAGCAAUACCGCGUGAGGGACGAAGGUCUGUGGAUUGUAAACCUCUUUUGUUAGGGAAGAUAAUGACGGUACCUAACGAAUAAGCAUCGGCUAACUCCGUGCCAGCAGCCGCGGUAAGACGGAGGAUGCAAGCGUUAUCCGGAAUUAUUGGGCGUAAAGCGUACGUAGGCUGUUUCAUAAGUCUGUUGUCAAAGCCCGAGGCUUAACCUUGGAAAGGCAAUGGAAACUG
Molecule: ribosomal RNA, 280 nt
Filed under: uncultured cyanobacterium
Lineage: Bacteria; Bacillati; Cyanobacteriota
Description: partial 16S ribosomal RNA
Rfam family: Bacterial small subunit ribosomal RNA
Source: RNAcentral